UGGGGAAUUUUGGACAAUGGGCGCAAGCCUGAUCCAGCCAUGCCGCGUGCGGGAAGAAGGCCUUCGGGUUGUAAACCGCUUUUGUCAGGGAAGAAAUCUUCUGGGUUAAUACCUCGGGAGGAUGACGGUACCUGAAGAAUAAGCACCGGCUAACUACGUGCCAGCAGCCGCAGUAAUACGUAGGGUGCAAGCGUUAAUCGGAAUUACUGGGCGUAAAGCGUGCGCAGGCGGUUAUGCAAGACAGAUGUGAAAUCCCCAGGCUCAACCUGGGAACUGCAUUUGUGACUGCAUGGCUAGAGUGCGGCAGAGGGGGAUGGAAUUCCGCGUGUAGCAGUGAAAUGCGUAGAUAUGCGGAGGAACACCGAUGGCGAAGGCAAUCCCCUGGGCCUGCACUGACGCUCAUGCACGAAAGCGUGGGGAGCAAACAGGAUUAGAUACCCUGGUAGUCCACGCCCUAAACGAUGUCAACUGGUUGUUGGGAAGGUUCCUUCUCAAUAACGUAGCUAACGCGUGAAGUUGACCGCCUGGGGAGUACGGCCGCAAGGUUG
RNAcentral lists this ribosomal RNA (548 nucleotides) under uncultured bacterium. RNAcentral's name for it is "bacterial SSU rRNA". It matches the Rfam family "Bacterial small subunit ribosomal RNA", at positions 355 to 896 of the family's 1533-position model. The record is from RNAcentral.